AUGGUAAAAUAAGAUUAUGAGAGUGAGAAAAGAACCUUGGACAACGGGAUUGAGAUUCCUAAAGAAGAACAUGUUGUUGCCAUGUGAAGCAGAUGGAUUGAAGAAAAACGAAUUGGAUUCCAUUUUGGAAUUUAGGGAUUUUGAAAUCAAUUUGGGAAUAUUGAUUCUUUUUUUUCAAUGAAACGACGUCGUUUUGAGUAUUAACGGAAAUUAAUUAACGUGUGUUAACGGAACUAACAUAUCCAUUAAUGAAAGAUAACGGCAUGGGGAUUUUGGCCUGGUCAACAAUAACAUUUGUGUGAAAUGAUCGGUCAACGUUUUUAUUAUGUUUUAUUUAGCCACACAAAAAGUUCACGUAUUAAAUGACCACUUUUUGAAAGUUCGCGUAUAAAACGACAUUUUUCCUCUUCUUAAAAUCAUUUUACUUCAUGAUCCGGUUAUUGGUUCUACUCACGCAUCUUUU
This 463-nucleotide small RNA is filed under the name Arabidopsis thaliana (thale cress). RNAcentral's name for it is "ATSL060890". The record is from RNAcentral. Lineage: Eukaryota; Viridiplantae; Streptophyta; Magnoliopsida; Brassicales; Brassicaceae.